UUUCUGAAAGUUCAAAAGACAGUAAUAUAAUAAGGAGUUGAAGGGCAUAAUUGGGUCCAGUUUACCUACAGCUUUGCGGCAAUUGCUUUCGGUCUGAUCAUCACUUCGCUGAAUGCAUUGCAUUUGCUUUCUUCUAAUGUCUCGAUCGGGAGUAAGGAGCCUGUGUAGAGCUCUCAAACUCAUCUCAGUUUCUGCGUACCUUAUUGGAUGUAUCGUUGACUACAACUUUCGCGUGAUCUUUAACUUGGUUGCUUGUAUAUCCUGUUCUAUGCUGAUCCGACUUGGUAGCCUUAGUGCACUAGCUACUUGUGCAAUUCUCUUGAAGCGAUACAUAUAUUUGCAGGGUCUAGGCGUCCCUUGUAUCGAUUCAUACUCCAUCUUUUGUUUUGGCAUCUAUUUCGAUUAAUUUCCACGAUCUGUGUCAGAAUGGGAGUACAAUUGCAUCUAGAGAAGUAACAACCUUAAUCGUCGGUCUAACCCUUUCAGGAGGAAAGGAAGGGAUACUGAUGAAGUUCCUCGUUCCCUCACAUCUAUCCCUUCCUUGUUCUGAUAGCCGUUGCGGGAUGCAGAGGUACGUGAGCCGUCAAAUGUGGGAGGAGGAGAUCAAGAGAAGGACAGAGACGAAGCACUGUAGUGGGGAAGCUCGCCAGAGAUGAAGGAAGAAGAUGGAGGGAGAAAGAGAAAGACGCGUUCUGUUUGUGGCUCUCAUCAGCGACGUGCACGGCAGAUGCCCGGCCGUCAAUUGCUGAAAACUCUGAAUACAGAAGCUUCGACGGAAACGACACCCGGCGAGGGCACGAACUCGUCUUCCUCCUCUUCUGUUUACUCCUCGAUCUGUUUUCCUGAUUUCCUCUAAUCGUGUCGACGCCUCUGCCAAGAGCUAGCUCCAGAUAACGACGAGCUCAGCACCUCGCCUGCUAUGUAAAAAGGGCACGGAACAAACACUCUUCAGUACCGUACAUCAUUUUGC
This 970-nucleotide long non-coding RNA is filed under the name Setaria italica (foxtail millet). RNAcentral describes it as "long non-coding RNA (SITA_LNC005709)". The record is from RNAcentral. Lineage: Eukaryota; Viridiplantae; Streptophyta; Magnoliopsida; Poales; Poaceae.